GCCUAACACAUGCAAGUCGAACGUGAAGCACUGUUCAAUCAAUUCGUUGAGCGAGUGGUGUGGAAAGUGGCGAACGGGUGAGUAACACGUAGGUAACCUGCCUCGGAGUGGGGGAUAACCGGUGGAAACGCCGGCUAAUACCGCAUGGGUCCAUAGUAGUUGGAGCUACAAUGGGCAAAGCUACGGCGCUUCGGGAGGGGCCUGCGACCGAUUAGUUAGUUGGUGAGGUAAAGGCUCACCAAGGCAGAGAUCGGUAGCUGGUCUGAGAGGACGAUCAGCCACACGGGAACUGAGACACGGUCCCGACUCCUACGGGGGGCAGCAGUGAGGAAUAUUGCACAAUGGGGGGAACCCUGAUGCAGCAACGCCGCGUGAAGGAUGAAGGUCUUUGGAUUGUAAACUUCUUUUAACGGGGAAGAGGAAGGACGGUACCCGUUGAAUAAGUCACGGCUAACUACGUGCCAGCAGCCGCGGUAACACGUAGGUGGCGAGCGUUAUCCGGAAUUAUUGGGCGUAAAGGGCGCGCAGGCGGCCAUUUAAGUUUGACGUGAAAGCUCCUGGCUUAACUGGGAGAGGUCGUUGGAAACUGAGUGGCUUGAGGCAAUGAGAGGGGUGCGGAAUUCCCGGUGUAGUGGUGGAAUGCGUAGAUAUCGGGAGGAACACCAGUGGCGAAAGCGGCACCCUGGCAUUGACCUGACGCUGAAGUGCGAAAGCGUGGGGAGCGAACGGGAUUAGAUACCCCGGUAGUCCACGCUGUAAACGAUGAACACUAGGUGUGGGUAGUGUCAAAGCUAUCUGUGCCGAAGCAAACGCGAUAAGUGUUCCGCCUGGGGAGUACGGCCGCAAGGCUAAAACUCAAAGGAAUUGACGGGGGCC
RNAcentral lists this ribosomal RNA (876 nucleotides) under uncultured bacterium. Its description in RNAcentral is "bacterial SSU rRNA". It matches the Rfam family "Bacterial small subunit ribosomal RNA", at positions 46 to 921 of the family's 1533-position model. The record is from RNAcentral.